Manis pentadactyla (Chinese pangolin) is the source of this 1295-nucleotide long non-coding RNA. RefSeq lists it as uncharacterized. The transcript is spliced from 4 exons. NCBI's taxonomy places the organism in Eukaryota, Metazoa, Chordata, Mammalia, Pholidota, Manidae. The record is from RefSeq and is a predicted model, not a curated record.
CUUAAGGGGAAACAGCCCACCAGUGCUGCACAUAGAGUGACAACAUCUUGAGGAAGAUUUGGCGUUAAAAGAUGAAGGUCUAGGAAGAACAGAAUAUGACACCCUGAAUUUUAGCUGAGCAUAUGGCUAUCCAGGUACAGACUACAUUUCCCAAUGUCCCCUGUGGCUAAAUAUGGACAUGUGACUAAAUUCAGAUCAAUAAGAUGUGUGAAGUGAUAUGAGUGACUUCUGGGCCAUCUCUUUGGUGUGCUUGUCCUGGACAAUCUUUAUCCUCAUGGGCUGAAACAUGGGUGUGGGGAGCCAGUUAUGAGAUAAUGGAACAUCCAGAGAGAAGGAACCAUAUUUUGGAUAACGUUGUGGAUCACAGCUAUCCUGCCAUGCUUGGGCUUCUCACCUGUGGAUUGUUUUUUGUAAACAAAAUAAUGUUGCAACCUUGAACUGCAAAAUGAAGAUUGUUCAGCACAGUUCAAAUCAGGAAAUUACAUCUGAUUGUUGUCUGCUGGCUCCCUCAAACUCUACCUCUGUCAGAAUUCUGCCCCGGCAGGUGUGAGAGAGAAUAGAUGCAGAACUCAAGUGAAUAUCCACAUCUGUUUUUGGAAAAAAGGAACAGAAGCAGCACAGACGGAAGUAAAAGAGAUAAUUGCUGGCUUGAACAACAAUACAUUUUACUUGUGGGCAGAGGGCCAGCUUACAGCAGGCGGACUAUGCAGGCCCAUCUUAUUGGAAUUCAGGGGUGGGCCUCCCUUCUUGUCCGGAGACAGCUGUAAACCAGCAGCCCAUAGCAUCACAAUCAGGCACUGAGUUUUGUCAAGGAAUGCUGAUAUGUACAGAAGCAGCUUUGUCUCUUCCGACUGCACCCCGCCUGGUGAAAUGACAGUCAAUCUCUGAUUCCAGAUGACAAGAACUGGAUAAAAACUUACAACAAAUGGCGACCUUUCAAGAGAUUAAUUUGUUUACCAACAAAAUGUUCCCUCUUUGUCAUCUGAGAUGGGGGUGACCUUCACUUUCCCACAUCUAGGCUGAAAGGAUGCUGACUAUAGUCAUCUGUUAAGUUAACUCCAUCUCAGCAAUUAUUCCCUUUUCUAUGUUUAGUGACAAGAAGGGUUUAUUAAUUCACUCUGCUUCUUGUUAUGGUUUAUAAAUGCAACAAGCUCAUUCUGAAUUACUGCAGUGUAACAUCAAUUUGUUUAAAUCUAAUUUUGCUACCGUUGCCAAAUUAUGUUGUGACUGUAAUUGUGGCCAUAUGCAUGGGCUUAAAACACAAUCAUGUUUCGAAAUCAUCCUUCGCCCCCCCU